AACUACAGUUUGCCAAAAGAUGGU
Molecule: non-coding RNA, 24 nt
Filed under: Arabidopsis thaliana (thale cress)
Lineage: Eukaryota; Viridiplantae; Streptophyta; Magnoliopsida; Brassicales; Brassicaceae
Source: RNAcentral